AGUAUCAUGGGAUGGAACCUUGAAACAAUCUUAGGACACCUUCUGACCCAGUGAAUGAGAAGUCAUUUAUAUUCUGAUGCUACA
Molecule: non-coding RNA, 84 nt
Organism: Triticum urartu
Lineage: Eukaryota; Viridiplantae; Streptophyta; Magnoliopsida; Poales; Poaceae
Source: Rfam